UACGUAGGGUGCAAGCGUUAAUCGGAAUUACUGGGCGUAAAGUGUGCGCAGGCGGCCGCGCAAGUCGAGUGUGAAAGCCCCGGGCUUAACUUGGGAAUUGCGCUCGAAACUACGUGGCUGGAGUAUGGCAGGGGAAGGUGGAAUUCCACGUGUAGCGGUGAAAUGCGUAGAGAUGUGGAGGAACACCGAUGGCGAAGGCAGCCUUCUGGGCCAAUACUGACGCUCAUGCACGAAAGCGUGGGGAGCAAACAGG
RNAcentral lists this ribosomal RNA (253 nucleotides) under uncultured bacterium. RNAcentral's name for it is "partial 16S ribosomal RNA". It matches the Rfam family "Bacterial small subunit ribosomal RNA", at positions 524 to 776 of the family's 1533-position model. The record is from RNAcentral.